RNAcentral lists this ribosomal RNA (328 nucleotides) under uncultured Glomus. RNAcentral's name for it is "SSU rRNA". It matches the Rfam family "Eukaryotic small subunit ribosomal RNA", at positions 511 to 843 of the family's 1831-position model. The record is from RNAcentral. Lineage: Eukaryota; Fungi; Glomeromycota; Glomeromycetes; Glomerales; Glomeraceae.
GGAAUGAGAACAAUUUAAAUCUCUUAACGAGGAACAAUUGGAGGGCAAGUCUGGUGCCAGCAGCCGCGGUAAUUCCAGCUCCAAUAGCGUAUAUUAAAGUUGUUGCAGUUAAAAAGCUCGUAGUUGAAUUUCGGGAUCAAUAUUUCGGUCAUGCCGUUGGUAUGCACUGUUAUCAUUGAUUUCUCACCUUCUAAAGAACCGUAAUGCCAUUAAUUUGGUGUUACGGGGAAUUAGGACUGUUACCUUGAAAAAAUUAGAGUGUUUAAAGCAGGCUCACGCUUGAAUACAUUAGCAUGGAAUAAUGAAAUAGGACAUCCGAUUCUAUUUU